RNAcentral lists this ribosomal RNA (497 nucleotides) under uncultured bacterium. Its description in RNAcentral is "partial 16S ribosomal RNA". It matches the Rfam family "Bacterial small subunit ribosomal RNA", at positions 28 to 507 of the family's 1533-position model. The record is from RNAcentral.
GAUGAACGCUGGCGGCGUGCUUAACACAUGCAAGUCGAGCGAACAGACCAUGAGCUUGUUCCUCUGACGUUAGGGGCGCACGGGUGAGAAACAUGAGGAUAACCCACCUAUAAGACUGAGAUAAUUACGGGAAACCGGAGCUAAUACCGGAUAAGAUAUUGAUCCGUAGGGGUCAAUAGAAAAAGACGGCUGUUCUGUCACUAAUAGAUGGAUACGCGCCGCAUUAGCUGGUUGGUAAGGUAACGGCCUACCAAGGCAACGAUGCGUAGCCGACCGGUGAGGCGGGUCGGCCACCCUGGAACGGGGCCGCGAUCCAGGCUCCUACGGGACGCCGCAGUAGGGUAUGUUCGGCAGUGGGCGGGAGCUUGGCGGAACAACGCCACGUGAGUUGCAGAGAUCUUGCGAUCGUGAUGCUCUGUUAUUGGUGAAAAACAACUGUGUAAGUAACUAUACACGUCUUGACGGUACCUGAUCAAAAAGCACCGGCUAACUACGUG